RNAcentral lists this ribosomal RNA (467 nucleotides) under uncultured bacterium. RNAcentral's name for it is "partial 16S ribosomal RNA". It matches the Rfam family "Bacterial small subunit ribosomal RNA", at positions 29 to 507 of the family's 1533-position model. The record is from RNAcentral.
ACGCACGCUGGCGGCGUGCUUAACACAUGCAAGUCGAACGGAAAGGCCCUGCUUUUGUGGGGUGCUCGAGUGGCGAACGGGUGAGUAACACGUGAGUAACCUGCCCUCGACUUUGGGAUAACUUCAGGAAACUGGGGCUAAUACCGGAUAGGAGCUCCUGCUGCAUGGUGGGGGUUGGAAAGUUUCGGCGGUUGGGGAUGGACUCGCGGCUUAUCAGCUUGUUGGUGGGGUAGUGGCUUACCAAGGCUUUGACGGGUAGCCGGCCUGAGAGGGUGACCGGCCACAUUGGGACUGAGAUACGGCCCAGACUCCUACGGGAGGCAGCAGUGGGGAAUAUUGCACAAUGGGCGGAAGCCUGAUGCAGCAACGCCGCGUGCGGGAUGACGGCCUUCGGGUUGUAAACCGCUUUCGCCUGUGACGAAGCGUGAGUGACGGUAAUGGGUAAAGAAGCACCGGCUAACUACGUG